This 483-nucleotide ribosomal RNA is filed under the name Phialocephala sp. C HL6-097-28B. RNAcentral describes it as "eukaryotic LSU rRNA". The stretch from base 137 to 290 matches the Rfam family "5.8S ribosomal RNA". Lineage: Eukaryota; Fungi; Ascomycota; Leotiomycetes; Helotiales; Mollisiaceae. The record is from RNAcentral.
GCUUACACCCACCCGUGUUUACAUACUAUUGUUGCUUUGGCGGGCCGUGGCCUCCACUGCGGGCUCUGCUCGUGUGUGCCCGCCAGAGAACCAAACUCUGAAUGUUAGUGAUGUCUGAGUACUAUCUAAUAGUUAAAACUUUCAACAACGGAUCUCUUGGUUCUGGCAUCGAUGAAGAACGCAGCGAAAUGCGAUAAGUAAUGUGAAUUGCAGAAUUCAGUGAAUCAUCGAAUCUUUGAACGCACAUUGCGCCCUGUGGUAUUCCGCAGGGCAUGCCUGUUCGAGCGUCAUUUAACCACUCACGCCUAGCGUGGUAUUGGGGCACGCGGUCUCCGCGGCCCUCAAAAUGAGUGGCGGCGCCGGUGGGCUCUAAGCGUAGUACAUACUCCCGCUAUAGAGUUCCCCCGGUGGCUCGCCAGAACCCCCAAUUUUUACAGGUUGACCUCGGAUCAGGUAGGGAUACCCGCUGAACUUAAGCAUAUC